UACAGAGGUCCCAAGCGUUGUUCGGAUUCAUUGGGCGUAAAGGGUGCGUAGGCGGUGCGGUAAGUCGGGUGUGAAAUCUCGGGGCUUAACUCCGAAACUGCAUUCGAUACUGCCGUGCUUGAGGACUGGAGAGGAGACUGGAAUUUACGGUGUAGCGGUGAAAUGCGUAGAUAUCGUAAGGAAGACCGGUGGCGAAGGCGGGUCUCUGGACAGUUCCUGACGCUGAGGCACGAAGGCCAGGGGAGCAAACGGG
This 253-nucleotide ribosomal RNA is filed under the name uncultured bacterium. RNAcentral's name for it is "partial 16S ribosomal RNA". It matches the Rfam family "Bacterial small subunit ribosomal RNA", at positions 524 to 776 of the family's 1533-position model. The record is from RNAcentral.